RNAcentral lists this long non-coding RNA (1643 nucleotides) under Pan troglodytes (chimpanzee). RNAcentral's name for it is "lincRNA". The record is from RNAcentral. Lineage: Eukaryota; Metazoa; Chordata; Mammalia; Primates; Hominidae.
CGAUCUCCUGACCUCGUGAUCCGCCUGCCUCGGCCUUCCAGAGUGCUGGGAUUACAGGCUUCAGCCACCGUGCCCAGCCUCACCCAGAUGGAGUCUCAAUCUGUCACCCAGGCUAGAGCACAGUGGCGCAAUCUUGGCUCACCGCAACCUCUGUCUCCAGGAUUCAGAUGAAAAACCCAAGGUCCAGAAAGGGGACGCAAUGGCCAUAGCAGCAGCAGAGCAGGGACUGAAUCCCAAGGCUGAUGACUUUGACUUCGGUGCUCCAGCAUUCGUCUUCCCUGGAUUUCUCAGCUCGCAGGCUCGAUAACUCUCUUCUCUCCCCAGACUUGUUGGCAGGCAAGAGGAAUAACUCAUGUGAGUCAAAAGCAAUUUGCAAACAUAAAUAAUUUUCGAUGCCAGGAGAGGAGACGGUGGGAAGAUGCAUGGAAGGUUGAGAGGAACACAGUCAGCCCCAAGUCUCCCUCACCCUGCUGGGCACUUCCUCUUCCCACCUCGGCGCUGGUGGGAGAGUCGGAGUGCGCCAUAAACAAGGCAGGAAACGGCUAUCAUGAUGCUCACUUCCGCUCUUCCUAGAAGGGAUUCUGCUCGCCAAUCUCUCCACUCCCCACCCCCUGCCAUGCACAGGAUUUUGUACUCCCAGCUCCUCUGGAGGCUCAGAGGAGGAGAUGGUCCUGCUGCACUGGCCCAGCCUUCCUCUACCUGGCUUGUCUUUUUCCUUGUCCUCAACCCCAAACAGCAAGUGUCCUAACAAAGAAUGGAUAGCACACUAUUAUUUUUGUGACAUUCAUCUCAGUGUCAUAUUCCAAAGGAGCUUGACAUAAUUGUCCUGUUCCUAAUGUGGACACUGGUUUACGAAAGUGUGGUGACCACUGGAGACUGUUCUCUGACAGUGUAACAGGUAUUCGCCUUUCCCCAGGGUACCAAGACUCACGUGGCCCUGACAGCCAGCACAGUCUCUUAGGAGGUUCCGGAGGGUGGCAGUGGGAAUGAGCGUAGAGCUGUGUCAUUUCGGAGGGCUGAGUGCGUUCCACACAUCUUCCCAAAGCCCACCCCAAGAGGCUGUCUAAUGCAGGGGGAAACAAUGAGAAACCAGAUACCAUGGAAUUAGCAAAGAAUUUCUCAGAUGAAACAGGAAAGGGAGGAAAUCCAGAGGGGUUUACAUUACACCUGGCUCAGGUUGAAAGGAUUCAGGGCCAGUUGUUGGCAAUAUUAAACUCCAGGCUGUGUUUGAAAGGGUCCUUCACUCGGGCAGCCAAAGAGAGGCGUUCCUGCCAGGAUAGGUUGCAUCGCUGCAGAUCUCCAGCCCUACGUGCAUACACACGUGUACACACACGUGCACACACAUGCAUGCACACACAGACGUGCACACGCACACACAUGCAUGCACACAUGCACACAUGCGCACACGUGCGCGCACACGCAUGCACACACACACAUGCAUGCACACACGUGCAUCUUGGAUAUCUCUUGUUAAUGUCAGCCCUCUGCCCCAAACUAGAUUUGAAAACUUGUAGGUAAUCAAGUUUUCUGGUUAAGAGAAAUAAUCCCAGCCAACAGUUAGUAAGCUCUUAUGUGUCAGGCCUUAUCCAAACAGUUCACAUGAAGACCAGAUCCAAAAAUAAAAGUGUGCUUUGUCCUCUGUG